CUACGGGAGGCAGCAGUGGGGAAUAUUGGACAAUGGGGGAAACCCUGAUCCAGCCAUGCCGCGUGAAUGAUGAAGGCCUUCGGGUUGUAAAGUUCUUUUGGUGGGGACGAUGAUGACGGUACCCACAGAAUAAGCUCCGGCUAACUUCGUGCCAGCAGCCGCGGUAAUACGAAGGGGGCUAGCGUUGUUCGGAAUUACUGGGCGUAAAGGGCGCGUAGGCGGUUUAACAAGUUGGGUGUGAAAGCCCAGGGCUCAACCCUGGAACGGCACCCAAGACUGUUUUACUUGAAUUCGGUAGAGGAUGGUGGAAUUCCCAGUGUAGAGGUGAAAUUCGUAGAGAUUGGGAAGAACACCCGUGGCGAAGGCGGCCACCUGGACCGACAUUGACGCUGAGGCGCGAAGGCGUGGGGAGCAAACAGGCUUAGAUACCCCGGUAGUCCA
Molecule: ribosomal RNA, 441 nt
Filed under: uncultured bacterium
Lineage: Bacteria
Description: bacterial SSU rRNA
Rfam family: Bacterial small subunit ribosomal RNA
Source: RNAcentral